Molecule: unclassified non-coding RNA, 1368 nt
Filed under: Leishmania donovani
Lineage: Eukaryota; Euglenozoa; Kinetoplastea; Trypanosomatida; Trypanosomatidae
Description: gene:LdHU3.04.0150(CDS-product:exosome_complex_ex onuclease_RRP40_putative)
Source: RNAcentral
ACGCAAUCAUAGUUGAAAGGACGCCGCAGCCAUGUCUACGGUGUCUACGAGCUCCAGUCCUAGUAGAGGGAUCACAGAGCUUGCUCCUUUAAGGGGGCAUGUGUGCCUGCCGGGAGAGCCGGUGCUGAUGACGCAGCCCGGUGCCGUGGUGGCGAUCGGAGGUGGUCUUCGGCUGCUUGCCCAGCCCGCACCCACACCCACCGCUGAUGGCGCAUCGCAAGCGCUCACGGACGUCUUCCUUUCUGAGUACUGUGCCUCCCUUCAGCGCAGCAGCCAUCAUCUGCACACACACGUUCCCCGGUACACAGUGCCAACGCCGGCGAGUAGACGAUACAUCCCCCGCGCCGGCGAUCCGGUGCUUGCCAUUAUUGCCCGCAAAGUGAGCCAGCACUACUACUACUGCUACAUUGGCGGCUCCGCCCUGGCCUACAUGGACGCCUUGGCCUUCGACGGCGCCACGAAGGUGAGCCGACCGCGGCUGGUGGAGGGCGAUGUUGUGUACUGCUACGUGAAGCCUCGCGCGGGCUCGAGCUACGUCGGCGGUGUACAUCGGUCGGUGGCCAGCGAGGUAUUUGACACGACUGGCGAAGUGGAGGUGAGCUGCACAGCGGCAGAAGUCGGGCUGCCGCCUAAGGACUGGACAUCCGGGGAGGCCGCCUUCGGCCCGUUGCAGGGCGGUCGCGUUCUGCACCUCCCGCUGGCGUACGUGCGUCGUCUGAUCACACCCGUGGGCUCAUCCCCAGAUAAGGCAUCAGCACAGCAGCGAAAGCAUGGUCACACGGAAGGCGAGGGCGGUUAUGGCGAUGAAGUGCCCGCCUCGUACCUCCUUCAGCUUCUGGGGCGCAGAGUACCCUUCGAGGUGGCUGUCGGCCUCAACGGGCUCGUGUGGGUGCGGGGGCUCUCUAGCGAGGCUGACACCACGGCUGCUGCCCGGCGCACUGUCGCCGUAAGCUCGUGCAUCUCCGAGGCGCAGUACGACGUCACUCGCGCCGAGAUGGAGGCCCGCGUCGAGGUUUACUUUCCCUCCUGACACGAGCAGCACGGGAACAGGCACGCGCCCCCUUCUGCACCGCGCGUACAUGUGCGUGUGUGGCUUGAACAGGAAACGAAUAAUGACCAUCUCACGCCAUUUCUCUCUCCUCCUCGCCUCCGCUGGCGCUUCUCCCGCUACCGCCUCUUUCCCUUUUUUCUACCAUCUUUCCGCUCUCGCGCGCGCAGCACUUGACCAGAGAGAGAGAGAAGCUGUGUUCGGCACGACAAAGAGCUCCACGCCCACGGGCGUGCCGGGGAAAGAGAGAGAACGGGAGCGGUGGCGGCGAGUCGGAGACUGAGGUGGAAGGGGGCGGCGAGAGGAACACUAACAAGAAG